RNAcentral lists this ribosomal RNA (399 nucleotides) under Achromobacter sp. PD-P12. RNAcentral describes it as "bacterial SSU rRNA". It matches the Rfam family "Bacterial small subunit ribosomal RNA", at positions 39 to 436 of the family's 1533-position model. The record is from RNAcentral. Lineage: Bacteria; Pseudomonadati; Pseudomonadota; Betaproteobacteria; Burkholderiales; Alcaligenaceae.
GCGCAACGGGGAGCCUUACCAUGGCAGUCGAACGGCAGCACGGACUUCGGUCUGGUGGCGAGUGGCGAACGGGUGAGUAAUGUAUCGGAACGUGCCCAGUAGCGGGGGAUAACUACGCGAAAGCGUAGCUAAUACCGCAUACGCCCUACGGGGGAAAGCAGGGGAUCUUCGGACCUUGCACUAUUGGAGCGGCCGAUAUCGGAUUAGCUAGUUGGUGGGGUAACGGCCUACCAAGGCGACGAUCCGUAGCUGGUUUGAGAGGACGACCAGCCACACUGGGACUGAGACACGGCCCAGACUCCUACGGGAGGCAGCAGUGGGGAAUUUUGGACAAUGGGGGAAACCCUGAUCCAGCCAUCCCGCGUGUGCGAUGAAGGCCUUCGGGUUGUAAAGCACUUU